RNAcentral lists this long non-coding RNA (1450 nucleotides) under Astyanax mexicanus (Mexican tetra). RNAcentral's name for it is "lncRNA (ENSAMXG00005003934.1)". The record is from RNAcentral. Lineage: Eukaryota; Metazoa; Chordata; Actinopteri; Characiformes; Acestrorhamphidae.
CGAGCUCAGCGUGGCCUCAGCUAGCUAACCAUCCUUCCUCAGCAGCCCCAGCUAACUACCUGCAGAGGAGGAGAGAAAGAGAGAGAAAUAAAGACAGGAGGAGAGAAAAAGGAGAUAAAAACGAAGAAGAACCUGAAGAUCCUGUUGUAGAUGUGACUUCUAGAAUGUUCCAGAUGUUUCAGAUGGGGUAAUGUGUUACGAUAACAGGACUGAGUGAAACCCAGGGACACAACUAAAAUGUGUAUUUUAACUUAAAUAUUAUGGAUUUAUUAUGAAAUAAAUAUUUUUCAAACAUAGAUGGGAUUUGGAGUCACACAACAAUGCAAAACAACUUACAUCUCUGAAGGAUUUUAAUAAUUAUAAUUUUUUAAUGAUAAAGUGUAUAGUUAGAAAGUGGGGACAGGUAACAAAUGCUAUUUUUUUUCAUAUCUUACUUAUAUCUUACUUUUGCAAUUAGGUCAAUAUACAAGACACAAUGCUUAGUAAUAAAAUGCAUUUUAAAGUAAUUUUUUUGCACACAUUUAUACAUGUCAUUUCCUGGGGACUGAAAUGGUACAGAUUCAGUGGAAUAUGUCAUAUAUUACAUAUAUUUUAUCAGGUAACUAGCUUUUAGAAAAUGUUAGGACUCCAGUAGUGACGUAGUUAUGUACGCAAAAAAUCCAUGUAAAAAUAUUAUUGUGUAAUUAAUUGCUGUUAUACGUAGACUAUGCUGAUAAUGAGGCAGUAAUUAAUUAAGAUAAACUACUGCGUUGUGGUGGGAUAGAAUGAAAAAAAAAACAUAAAAAGCACAUAGAAAUCAAGUAUUUGUGUGGGAAGAAAGCUAUCUGUGUGUUUGUGUGGCUAGUUGUUGUUGUUGUUUUGUUUUUUCCCCCCUCUCUCCUUUUCUGUUCAGCCCUCCCCUACAAGCAGGCGCCAUUUUGUUGUUAAGCAGCCUCCUGUCGUGAUGGAUACCUCAGCAGGUCAGGAGUCAGAGUUGAGCUGCAGUGGCGGCGACGCCUCUUUUUGUCUGCAGAGUGAAAAGCCGGUCACCGAGGCCUCUGCUGGAACUCCAUCAGGACCAGAGGAGAGAGGAGAGAAAGGGGAGAGCCAUGAAUGCAGCUGCGUGAUGAUGGGAUUCCUCGGGGGCACAAAACACCGCGCUGACAUCUCCACAGAGAGCUGCUGCUGUUGGGAAUAAUUCAGGACCCCUGCUGCCCCUUACAGAAUCACGGCCACCAGAUCGCCGACUGAUAGGGUGCUCAUUUACACCAUCCUUCUAAAUAUAAGACUGUCCAUCUUAGGUCUGCAUAUAGACACAAGGCAACAGCCUGACGUCCAAAUAUAGCAUACGGCCAGCAGAACUGACUGAAAGCUGAACUGGAUGCAGGCUUUACAGCACAGCUCAGCUUUGGUCAUUUAGAGAGGAAAGGGAAAAAAAAAGAUCCAUAAACACGCAUCUCUUUAAAGGCUU